Molecule: long non-coding RNA, 810 nt
Organism: Phacochoerus africanus (Common warthog)
Lineage: Eukaryota; Metazoa; Chordata; Mammalia; Artiodactyla; Suidae
Exons: 4
Source: RefSeq, a predicted model, not a curated record
GUGAAAUCAGAAGUGGAAGAGGCUUUAAAAGAAUGGCCAUGCUGCCAAACCUGUGAAAAAAUAUAACAAGCAUGUAGGCUUCACCCCAAAACACAAAGCAUUCAAAGUCUUCACACUUUGUAGGAAAAGGAUGCCCCUCGCAGAGAACCAAGUCCUCAAACUUCCAAGAUGUCCAUAAAAAGUCACAAAGUUGAGGGCAAACGGCACAGGCAACACGUUGCUCAAGAAAGAAAAAGGAGGAACAUGUGGGAAUCUGAAAACUGAUCUGAGGACCUCCUUGAACAGGUCACUUCCUCUGGUCUCACUUCUGAGGACAAGCAAAAUCAUCCUCUAUUUCAUGAGAUAUUGGUUAAAGCUUUGAAACUUGUAUGGGAUAUAUUGAGGAAGCAUAAUCUACUAAACUGUCCCUCAAGCUCUGGGUAAAUCUAUUUCAAAUAUUUAAUUUUUACAAAUCUAUGUAUCAAGAGAAGUCUCUCCAUGAGGGUCUAGUGUCUGUGAGAAAAUUUCAGUGUAGGGACAUUCUGAAGGUUUUUAUCUGACCUUUCUUUGGUUUUAAUCACUGAAGUUCUCGACAGCUUAAUAAGUUGAAGGUGCUGGGUCACAGUCUAACUUAAUAAGGCCUGCCACAGAGACUUGGUCACCUCUGAUUGCUCCCAUAAGUCUCAGCACAUCUGGUAUACUGUCCUUGGGUGAGAAAUGUUUUCCAUAACUUUCUUCUUGUUCACUAGCCUGCAUAUAAAUUGUUUUUAUUAACCCGAGAAUGAUACAGCACUGUAUAUUUGUGUGAGCUUUUGCCAUUUGCAGCUUUAU